Non-coding RNA from Punica granatum (pomegranate), 936 nucleotides. The record is from RefSeq and is a predicted model, not a curated record. NCBI's taxonomy places the organism in Eukaryota, Viridiplantae, Streptophyta, Magnoliopsida, Myrtales, Lythraceae.
GCCUGAAAUAUUCUAGUCUAAAAUUAUAUAUAGAAUGUUCAAACACCAAUAACAUGUAAAUAUGAUAUACAGGCAGUUAUGUAAGAGUUAUUGUAUGAACCGGAUAUACGAGGUAAACCAACAAGCACAUGAAUUUGUCCAAGGAAUAAUUCUUAGAAAAAGAGGAAACAGCAGCUGUCUUCUUCUGUCAGGAAUUACAGUGUUGGAAAAGAGUUGCCUUUGUGUAUGUAUAUAUACGGCCAUCGCCGAGUUAAUGGUGUAGAUUUCAAACAAACGCACACGAUAUUCAACUAAAUGCUAGCUAGUCAAAUAUAUAAGGGAAAAAAAAAAGCAUCACCAAGAACAAAGAUCUAGCAUGUUUUCUUUGGAGGUUUUUAUUUAUUUAUUUAUUUAUUUUUGUGACAACUCAGGAAUUGAAUUCGACAAGAAGAGAGAGAUUUAAUAGAGCGACACUCGUCGUGCACUGGAAAACAAAAUGUAUGGGUUCAGUUUUCACUUUCUUUCCUCUUCCUCUAUUUCAAUAUUCUAGGCUCACAAACCUCCUAAUAACUGCAGAAAAAAAAAAAAAAAACCUGACCGAUCCCUCUUUCCAUGGAUGGGACCAUGGGGAAUAAUAUCUGAUUGAGCUCUAGCUUCCCGUGGUAGGAUUUGAGAUCCAGGAGACGGGAGCAAAAGCGGAGUCUAUUCGCCGAGACUAAUCUUAUUGAGGUGUCAUCUUGGUCAUGGCCACUUAAAAUUUCAAGCACGGAGAUAAGAAUUUAUGAUGAAAAUACAUGGCGAACCAAUCAAUUAAGAGGCAAGAGAGGUGCCGGUGCCGUCGCGGUGUCGUCUGGGGAGAGCAUGAGAAGGGGACAGGUGCAGUUGGUGCUGCUGUUGUAGCUGGUGCUGCCGCUCCCUGCGCUUCGAGGCUGGCACCCACGUGCUCCUGACGUGGGU